UCAUAGAGGUGAAAAUCAGUGGUAUUCAGUGAUGUAAGAAUGAUGAAUGAAAUGCGCUGACAGUUUAUUGCUCCUGCCGAAUGAAUUGCACUGAAUGGAGCUGAUCACCACUCCAAGAUGGCCGCCCCGCGUCUCGUCCGCGCCAGUAGGCAGUAGCGCUCCAUGCUAUAUGGACCGCACAGUCUUCACGAUAAAAGCCCUGCUCCAUCCUGCCUGCGCUAUCACAAUAAGAGUCUCGGAAAGCUAGCAAGCUACGGAGUUUGCCGCCAUUGUAUUUCUUGUAAAGUGUAUAAAACGGAGUAUGGAAGCUGGACAAAUAAGAUGGCAAAAAGCAAGCAUUUUCGUAUGGUAUUGGACAAAAAUAAUGAUUUUUUUUUUCCUACAUUUGAAAAUGUGGACCGUUUGAUUCCAAUUAAUGCAAGUCAUUGUCAUCACUAGCAGAUAAGAUAUAUAAGAAGUUCCACACCUGCCGACGACCAGGCUGCCGUCCUCGAUGACGCAGAGACGGAGCGAGCCGUCCGAGGUCAGCAGCCUGGAGGUCCUUGUACACAAAUAUUUGUCCGGGGGGGAGCGGAGGUUAAAGUGCACCGAGGGUGGAGCAACGUCCGAAAAAGGUACGUUUUGUCACAAAAUGUAGGAUUGGCUUUAGUUGAACAACACAUCUUAGGGUACGUUAAAUAUAUGUUUAUUAUUGUAAUUUAGUCCUUAAAUAAAAUAGUGAACAUACUGGACAACUUUGUCUUUUAGUAGUAAGCAAACAAACAUCCAUCCACCCAUCCAUUUCCUACCGCUUAUUCCCUUUUGGAGUCGCGGGGGGCGCUGGCGCCUAUCUCAGCUACAAUCGGGCGGAAGGCGGGGUACACCCUGGACAAGUCGCCACCUCAUCGCAGACAAACAAAGACUCCUAAUUAGUCUAUGCUAGUGGUUCUCAAAUGGGGGUACGCGUCCCCUUGGGGGUACUUGAAGGUACGCCAAGGGGUACGUGAGAUUUUUUUUUUAAAUAGUCUAAAGAAAAGCAACAAUUGUUAGAUUUUUUUGUGGACAUGUCCCAUAAAUAUUGAUGUUAAAGAUUUCUUUUUUUGUGAAAAAUUUUUUAGAAUUUAAUCCAGGUUGAUUUCUAUUACAAUCCCCAAAGAGGGCACUUUAAAGGCCUACUGAAGUGAGAUUUUCUUAUUCAAACAGGGAUAGCAGGUCCAUUCUAUGUGUCAUACUUGAUCAUUUCGCGAUAUUGCCAUAUUUUUGCCAAAGGAUUUAGUAGAGAACGCCGACGAUAAAGUUCGCAACUUUUGGUCGCUAAUAAAAAAGCCUUGCCUGUGCCGGAAGUAGCAAACGAUGUGCGCGUGACGUCACGGGUUGUGGAGCUCCUCACAUCUGAACAUUGUUUACAAUCAUGGCCACCAGCAGCGAGAGCGAUUCGGACCGAGAAAGCGACGAUUUCCCCAUUAAUUUGAGCGAGGAUGAAAGAUUCGUGGAUGAGGAAAGUGAGAGUGAAGGACUAGAAAAAAAGAAAAUUAAAAAAAAGACGAGGGCAGUGGGAGCGAUUCAGAUGUUAUUAGACACAUUUACUAAGAUAAUUUGGGAAAAUCUCUUAUCUGCUUAUGGUGUUACUAGUGUUUUAGUAAGAUUAUAUAGUUGUACCUGAAAGUCGGAGGUGUGUGGCCACGGGUGUGGUGACCGCCAGUGUCUCUGAGGGAAGCCACGUUUCUCGACGAGGCGAAGCCAAGGCAGCCGGUCGGGCCGGGCUGAGCUUUUUUUCCCCCUCCUCCACCGUGGAAGCAACCACGUUCGGGGGCGGCCGGUUGGAGGAGGCAAGAGAGUCCGCAGCUGCCUCUUUGACAGAUGCACGGGGAAUGACACAAACUCCGCUCAUGUCUACAAUAUGAGCCGACAUAUUACCACAAUUUUCUCACAGAAACCUGUCGGUUGACAUGUGGUAGAGAACCAUGUUCGCUUGACCGCUCUGUUCCAUAGGAAAGCUUCACUUUCGGGAAUGUAAACAAUGAAACACCGGCUGUGUUAGUGUUGCUAAAGGCGGCCGCAAUACACCUCUUCCCACCUACAUCUUUCUUCCUUGACGUCUCCAUUAUUAAUUGAACAAAUUGCAAAAGAUUCAGCAACAUAGAUGUCCAGAAUACUGGGUAAUUAUGUG
This is a long non-coding RNA of Nerophis ophidion (straightnose pipefish), 2149 nucleotides long. RefSeq lists it as uncharacterized. The record is from RefSeq and is a predicted model, not a curated record. The transcript has 3 exons. NCBI's taxonomy places the organism in Eukaryota, Metazoa, Chordata, Actinopteri, Syngnathiformes, Syngnathidae.